Choloepus didactylus (southern two-toed sloth) is the source of this 795-nucleotide long non-coding RNA. RefSeq lists it as uncharacterized. Lineage: Eukaryota; Metazoa; Chordata; Mammalia; Pilosa; Megalonychidae. The transcript is spliced from 4 exons. The record is from RefSeq and is a predicted model, not a curated record.
CACUUCCCGUGGGGAGACGCCGGUACCCCACCAUAUGCCGGGCCUCUGAGGCCCCAUCCCGGCCCCGAGAGGCAGCAGGGAGGAGCCAAGCAAAGCAGCACAGCGAGGAGGGCUGCGGAGGGUGCCGGAGACCGCAGAGCUCAGCUUGGGGAGUGGGGGCUCCUCGCGGGGAGCGGUUAACUUUGAUACAUCCUUUCGGGAAUUAUCACUCCUUGUGAAGUCCUGUUUUGAAAGAUGGACCCUGUGGGGUCGUCUCACGGAUUCCUUACAGAAUGGUGCAGAUUUUCCAGCCCUUUGCUGUCAGGGUGGCACGUUCUGGGCAGUUCAUCCACAGGUUCUGAAAUUGUGCCAGAAUUCUUAAAACCCCUUUGUGCAGUCGGACCUCCUCAGUCUGUCCUCUAACAAGCGGGGGAGACGGACUUCGGGGUCUGAGUCGUAGACCUUUACCAGGCACCCAGCAAAUCCCAGCUGGCCUUGCUGAGAACUUCCUCUCCUGGAGGAGAGAAAACUCGAUUCCAGCCAACAAGGAGGAAGUGACUGAGGAGGAAAGUUGAUCUUAGCACCAUUUAAAACACAAAAGCGCUACCAUUCCAAGGAUGGAAACCCCACAGGGAUUUUUCUUGAGAGUCCUAUAACAAUGUCCUAAGGAAAAUGAGACGGACAAAAGGAGGUCCAGAAAGGAGCUGCGGCUACAGCCUCAGUUUCCCCAUAAGAGGGAACCGGGCGAAUGUGACCUUCCUGAAAGGUUCCUGUGGAGACUACACGAGACAAGGAGGAAAAAGUACCCGGCACUUA